Molecule: ribosomal RNA, 481 nt
Filed under: uncultured bacterium
Lineage: Bacteria
Description: partial 16S ribosomal RNA
Rfam family: Bacterial small subunit ribosomal RNA
Source: RNAcentral
GCUUAACACAUGCAAGUCGAGCGAGAAUCGUUUAUUGAAGGCUUCGGCUGGAAAUAGAUGAGGAAAGCGGCGAAUGGGUGAGUAACGCGUGGGCAACCUGGCCUUAAGAAAAGGAUAGCCCCCGGAAACGGGGAGUAAUACUUUAUGAGAAUGAAAGAGGGCAUCCUACUUUCAUUCAAAGCGCAAGCGCUUAAGGAUGGGCCCGCGUAUCAUUAGCUAGUUGGUGAGAUAACAGCCCACCAAGGCAACGAUGAUUAGCCGGUCUGAGAGGGCGAACGUCCACAUUGGAACUGAGAGACGGUCCAAACUCCUACGGGAGGCAGCAGUGGGGAAUAUUGCGCAAUGGAGAAGAACUCUGACGCAGCAAUACCGCGUAAGCGAAGAAGGUCUUCGGAUCGUAAAGCUCUGUUAUCAGGGAAGAAGAAAAUGACGGUACCUGAUGAGCAAGUCCCGGCUAACUACGUGCCAGCAGCCGCAGUAA